This 407-nucleotide ribosomal RNA is filed under the name uncultured bacterium. Its description in RNAcentral is "bacterial SSU rRNA". It matches the Rfam family "Bacterial small subunit ribosomal RNA", at positions 355 to 776 of the family's 1533-position model. The record is from RNAcentral.
UGGGGAAUAUUGGGCAAUGGAGGAAACUCUGACCCAGCAACGCCGCGUGGAGGAUGAAGGUCUUCGGAUUGUAAACUCUUGUCCUUGGGGACGAAAGAGGUGACGGUACCCAAGGAGGAAGCCCCGGCUAACUACGUGCCAGCAGCCGCGGUAAUACGUAGGGGGCGAGCGUUGUCCGGAAUUACUGGGCGUAAAGGGUGCGUAGGCGGAUUAUUAAGUCAGAUGUGAAAGACCGGGGCUUAACCCCGGGGUUGCAUUUGAAACUGAUGAUCUUGAGUGCAGGAGAGGUAAGUGGAAUUCCUAGUGUAGCGGUGAAAUGCGUAGAUAUUAGGAGGAACACCAGUGGCGAAGGCGACUUACUGGACUGUAACUGACGCUGAGGCACGAAAGCGUGGGGAGCAAACAGG